AGAGUGCACAAGAGGCAGGCGGAAUGCGUGGUGUAGCGGUGAAAUGCAUAGAUAUCACGCAGAACCCCGAUUGCGAAGGCAGCCUGCUAGGGUGCGACAGACGCUGAGGCACGAAAGCGUGGGUAUCGAACAGGAUUAGAUACCCUGGUAGUCCACGCAGUAAACGAUGAAUACUAACUGUUUGCGAUACAAUGUAAGCGGUACAGCGAAAGCGUUAAGUAUUCCACCUGGGGAGUACGCCGGCAACGGUGAAACUCAAAGGAAUUGACGGGGGCCCGCACAAGCGGAGGAACAUGUGGUUUAAUUCGAUGAUACGCGAGGAACCUUACCCGGGCUCAAACGCAGGGGGAAUAUAUAUGAAAGUAUAUAGCUAGCAAUAGUCGCCUGCGAGGUGCUGCAUGGUUGUCGUCAGCUCGUGCCGUGAGGUGUCGGCUUAAGUGCCAUAACGAGCGCAACCCCUAUCGACAGUUACUAACGGGUCAAGCCGAGGACUCUGUCGAGACUGCCGGCGCAAGCCGCGAGGAAGGUGGGGAUGACGUCAAAUCAGCACGGCCCUUACGUCCGGGGCGACACACGUGUUACAAUGGCAGGUACAGAAGGCAGCCAGUCAGCAAUGACGCGCGAAUCCCGAAAACCUGUCUCAGUUCGGAUUGGAGUCUGCAACCCGACUCCAUGAAGCUGGAUUCGCUAGUAAUCGCGCAUCAGCCAUGGCGCGGUGAAUACGUUCCCGGGCCUUGUACACACCGCCCGUCAAGCCAUGGAAGCCGGGAGUACCUGAAGCAUGCAACCGCAAGGAGCGUACGAAGGUAAUACCGGUAACUGGGGCUAA
This 829-nucleotide ribosomal RNA is filed under the name uncultured organism. RNAcentral describes it as "SSU rRNA". It matches the Rfam family "Bacterial small subunit ribosomal RNA", at positions 643 to 1484 of the family's 1533-position model. The record is from RNAcentral.